AUUUGUUCAUCUCCGAGGUGACAUCUUGAGGUCACAGACAGGACUGCACGCACCGACCUUAUGGCGGUAUAAUUGACACCAGGUUCGCCGUUUAUUCUCUUCUUCUGCCCACGCUCUUUUGUUAACAGGCUGGCAUGGGCUCACCGCGCCUGGAAGAUGACAUACGAUUUUUUUUUUUUGAGCCAUCUUAAAGCGCGUCGCCGGAGGGUUCCGCAACGAGAUGUGGCGUCUGAUGGAAAACAGAGGAUGUUUGCUCCGCCGGGACCGAAGGCGGCAUCUACAGCUGAGAUUGGCUUUGAAGAAGUGGAUCAUAUCUCUGCUUGCUGACAGUGAAUGGGAGCAGUGGCUGAAAACCUAUAUAAUCCUAGACCUUUUGGUACAAUUGUUAUCCCAGCUGAACGAUGCUCUUUAUGUUGCAGAUUCCAUCAUAUUUGACCGGAAGAAGAGCGAAGCAUGCAGCGCCAUUCUUCUCAUAAAAAAGGACACCAGGGCAGAACCCAACAGGCCCUGGCGGACAUUCCGAAGACAGCGAGCGGAACAUAUAUGUUACUCAGUACCUAAUCGUGGUCAUGUAUAUAAACUUAUUAUGUGUCUAGCACAUAUAUUUCUCUCACAAAUACCUGCUAUCUGUUGCUUACUUGUUUGUCAUGCCCUGCUUUGUCCUCAAUCUGAAUGACUCUUCUUCCUCCCUGAGUCUGCUGUGCUGUGUCUCUUCAUCCAAUCACUGCAGGCUGCUCUGUCACUCUCUCCUCUCUGUUUUCAUGCUGCAGUCUGAUAGGACAGGAGUGAGCACAGAGGAGAUCAAGUCCCGCCCUCACUUCCUGGGCUUUGUCCCUGCUUGUGCUUCAGCUGGGACAAAGAUGAUGCUGCAGCCGGGCAGGAUUAUGUUCUGGCUGGUAUGGGGACCCCUAGUGGUCUUCUUUUAAUUUUUUUUUUUUUUUUUA
Hyla sarda is the source of this 944-nucleotide long non-coding RNA. RefSeq lists it as uncharacterized. Lineage: Eukaryota; Metazoa; Chordata; Amphibia; Anura; Hylidae. The transcript is spliced from 3 exons. The record is from RefSeq and is a predicted model, not a curated record.